RNAcentral lists this ribosomal RNA (422 nucleotides) under uncultured bacterium. RNAcentral describes it as "partial 16S ribosomal RNA". It matches the Rfam family "Bacterial small subunit ribosomal RNA", at positions 360 to 775 of the family's 1533-position model. The record is from RNAcentral.
AAUUUUGGACAAUGGGGGAAACCCUGAUCCAGCCAUCCCGCGUGUAUGAUGAAGGCCUUCGGGUUGUAAAGUACUUUUGGCAGAGAAGAAAAGGUAUCCCCUAAUACGGGAUACUGCUGACGGUAUCUGCAGAAUAAGCACCGGCUAACUACGUGCCAGCAGCCGCGGUAAUACGUAGGGUGCAAGCGUUAAUCGGAAUUACUGGGCGUAAACCGGUGGAAGGGGGUUGGGAAAGAAAAAUGGAAAACCCCAGGGCCCAACCUUGGAACGGCAUUUUUACUUGCCGAGCUAGAGUAGGUAAGAGGGGGGUAGAAUUCCACGUGUAGCAGUGAAAUGCGUAGAUAUGUGGAGGAAUACCGAUGGCGAAGGCAGCCCCCUGGGAUAAUACUGACGCUCAAACACGAAAGCGUGGGAGCAAACAG